Molecule: ribosomal RNA, 406 nt
Filed under: uncultured bacterium
Lineage: Bacteria
Description: partial 16S ribosomal RNA
Rfam family: Bacterial small subunit ribosomal RNA
Source: RNAcentral
AUUGAACGCUGGCGACAAGCCUAACACAUGCAAGUCGAACGAGUGGCGGACGGGUGAGUAAUGCCUGGGAAACUGCCCGAUGGAGGGGGAUAACUACCGGAAACAGUGGCCAAUACCGCGUACCAUCGGCUGCGCCCAGAUGGGAUUAGCGAGUGGGUGGGGUAACGGCUCACCUAGGCGACGCUCCCUAGCUGGUCUGAGAGGAUGACCAGCCACACGGGAACUGAGACACGGUCCAGACUCCGACGGGAGGGAGCAGUGGGGAAUAUUGCACAAUUGGCGCAAGCCGGAUGCAGUCAGGCCGCGUGUAUGAAGAAGGCCUUCGGGUUGUAAAGUACUUUCAGCGGGGAGGCGUUACUCGCAGAAGAAGCACCGGCUAACUCCGUGCCAGCAGCCGCGGUAAUAC